AUUCCUCCCACAAGUAACCUUAGCUUUCAUCCUUGCAGCUCUAGCCACCUGUUCGUAAUGGUAUGCAGCACGUCGAACCCUUCUGGGGAGUGCAGCGAGCAUAUCAUCACCAAGAACGCUUACCAAACAUCCCUCAACCUUGUACUUGUGAGCCCAAGAGUUGAAGAUGAUCAGAUUCCAAAGACUGUUUCUGAAGGUGGUAUCGGUUGCACCGGUCGGCAAUUGGUUCUCAACUACGGCGGACACGCCGUACUUCGAGUUGUAAGCUGUGAACCUAUUGCUUGCCCUGUGUAACUUAAGAAACCACCUUGGACACCCCAACCUUCGCAUGAAGGCAAUUUCCAACUCCAUGACAUCCUUUACCUGAGAAGAAUCGUUGGCAGUAAAAUCUGCUUCCAUGAAACUCUUGCCUCUUUUGGACUCCAAGAAUUCCACAAUCUCCGGCGAAUGUUGUUUGUAAGCGAGUUGGAAAGAAAACCUCUUAGGAGAUUUCUCACAUGACUUGAACCUCUCCAUCAAAACCUUGAAUAUUGGUCCAGACACCAUGUUAUAGUAGUCAGUGCCCUUGAAGAUGACUCUGGGAGCCACCUUGUCAUGGUCUUUUACUAGAGCUUCUAUCUUCGUGAAAAUCUCCUUCGUCGAGUAGUCCUUUAACUUCUCCAGCCCUUCUUCCUCAUAGACCUU
This 684-nucleotide unclassified non-coding RNA is filed under the name Hevea brasiliensis (rubber tree). The record is from RNAcentral. Lineage: Eukaryota; Viridiplantae; Streptophyta; Magnoliopsida; Malpighiales; Euphorbiaceae.